This is a long non-coding RNA of Trichoplusia ni (cabbage looper), 689 nucleotides long. RefSeq lists it as uncharacterized. Lineage: Eukaryota; Metazoa; Arthropoda; Insecta; Lepidoptera; Noctuidae. The transcript has 2 exons. The record is from RefSeq and is a predicted model, not a curated record.
AAAAUGAUUCCUAUUAGAAGUUGUUUAUUAUUGCAUGAAUAAAUGCUACUUGUUUUAAAAGCGUUCUAUAAAAAAAGAAAAGAAGUGCUUUUUGAUGACUGCAAAACAUUAAUUGUAAGAUUUAUCUUCCAGAGAUUUCACAAUCUAGGUAAUCAAAGAUUCAAAUCAAAUGUAGAAUAAUCCAAACAAAAAUAUAUUCUAAAUAAUAUAGGUUAACGACCAUCAAUAAUAAUAAUUACAUAAGACAUAAAAACAAAAACAAAGCGGAAAGUUAUUCACCCAGGUCCACGCGGAUGAUGAAUAAAAUUAUUGGAAGCCAUCAAACAAGUUUACAAACCAAAAUACACAUUAACGUAUCUGUGUUUAAUAUAUCUGUGUAUAUAAGCUGUGGGCUUCGGACAUUCCACGCAAAGUCUUCAUAGCUUCGCAGUCAAGUUAUUGUGCUUAUAAGUUAGUGUUACUACACGAGAGUGAAUAUUAAUAUUUAAUUCGACAGCAAAAGAUGGACCUGCUACGAGUAUUUUGGCUGUUAUUGUCAAUCGUUACCAUUGUGUGUACGAACACUGGGCACGCAUUUCCCCACUACAUCCAGUGCCGAUCGGGGUGGCGACUUAUUUCCAUCAAAGGUCAAAGAAUUUGCGUACCCAUCGACUACUAUUCAUACAGUAAAUGACAGCAAUAACUACACA